CGCCAGACUCCUACGGGAGGCAGCAGUGGGGAAUAUUGCACAAUGGGGGAAACCCUGAUGCAGCGACGCCGCGUGAGCGAUGAAGUAUUUCGGUAUGUAAAGCUCUAUCAGCAGGGAAGAAAAUGACGGUACCUGACUAAGAAGCCCCGGCUAACUACGUGCCAGCAGCCGCGGUAAUACGUAGGGGGCAAGCGUUAUCCGGAUUUACUGGGUGUAAAGGGAGCGUAGACGGCUGUGCAAGCCAGAUGUGAAAGCCCGGGGCUCAACCCCGGGACUGCAUUUGGAACUGUGUGACUGGAGUGUCGGAGAGGCAGGCGGAAUUCCUAGUGUAGCGGUGAAAUGCGUAGAUAUUAGGAGGAACACCAGUGGCGAAGGCGGCCUGCUGGACGAUGACUGACGUUGAGGCUCGAAAGCGUGGGGAGCAAACAGGAUUAGAUACCCCGGUAU
RNAcentral lists this ribosomal RNA (447 nucleotides) under uncultured bacterium. RNAcentral describes it as "partial 16S ribosomal RNA". It matches the Rfam family "Bacterial small subunit ribosomal RNA", at positions 329 to 793 of the family's 1533-position model. The record is from RNAcentral.